This 5635-nucleotide long non-coding RNA is filed under the name Amborella trichopoda. RNAcentral's name for it is "long non-coding RNA (ATRI_LNC005451)". The record is from RNAcentral. Lineage: Eukaryota; Viridiplantae; Streptophyta; Magnoliopsida; Amborellales; Amborellaceae.
AUUUCUUUAUUUUUUAUAUUUUUUAACAUUAGGGGUAGUGCUCAAUUGGUCUGAUGUUGAUGUCAUUAUACUGCCUUAUGUGGUGCUCUUCAAAGCGGUUCGAGGUUAGCAUCCUCGGAUUGCAAACAUCGACUUUGUUAAGCAUUUAGAAGCGGUCCGAGCUGCCCAUUCUCGGACUGCCUUCUUUAGUGAUCUUCUGGGCAGUCCGAGGUUGGCAGCAUCAUACCGCAUUACCUCAUUUGUUUGCUAAGAAAUAAGUCGGUCAGGCUGCCUUCUGGACUGGGCACUAGGGCGCUGCACCAUCAGUUAAAUAACUAAAUAAAAAACUUAAAAAGCGGUCUUAGGAUGACAUCCUCAUAUUGAGGGAUAUUUUAAAAAAUAAAUAAAAAAACACAGAUUGACUGACCUUCCACAUAAUUUUCGCCUAAUAUUAACCUAUUUCGAUUUUUCCUAUUUUAUUCGUAUGUGACUUACUCUUUUUAUUUGUUAUUGGACAUUUUGUGCUGGAUCCAUUUUAUGGGUGCAAUGAAGAAAGGAUCUACGACCCGAAGCACCACAGCUACCGUUCAAGUCUCUCUCUCUCUGCCCAUAUGGUCAUCAUAUUGUUCUCUAACUUGAGUCGUUAGGGUUCUCCCUCUCAUGAGCCAGGUAUUGUUCUCCGACCCUUAAAUGUCUCUCUGUCAAGAAUAUCCUUUCAAAUAUUUUAUACUUCUAUAGAAAAAGUUUAUAUUAUUAUUAUCGUCUUUUGUAAUUUAUAAAAAAGUUUAUAUUAUUAUCAUUAUCAUUCGGCCCUUAUCCUUACUAUUUAGAAUUAGCUAUACAAAUCAUGUUCCUUCAUCAAAGGUUAUAUUCUCAGUGAAACCAUUAAUUAUUAUAUCUUUUCUCAUUACUUUCAUCUAUGUCUUUUGAGGUCAUCCUCUUGUCUUUUUAGAGCAUUCCCCUUGAAUCAAAUUAUCUCUCCUAACCAGUGCUAUUUUAGGUCGAUGUUGCAUAAUUUUAUAUUAUAAAAGUAAUCCAUCUUAGAUACCCAUAAAAAUAGUUAUUAUGAUGCUAGACAACUCUCAAAUUACGCAUCUUAACCUCAAGAAAUAUGCAUAUGAAAAAGAAAAAAAAAAAAUUUAAUACGCAUAUUGUAAUACAUUUUCUACAUUAUUCAUUGUCAAGAUUUUCAAGUAUUAUACAUCAAUUCGAUAUGCACUAUUCUCGAGGCUCCGAGUUUCAUAAUUAAAGGAAGAAGUAGAUUUUCAAGAUAUUGUAAAAGUUUCAGAUACCGUCUCUAUAUCAUUCGGUAGGGUUGGGAUAUGGAAUUACUUUGAUUGUUUAAGGCUGCCACCUUGUGUAAACCACACCCUAUUUUUAUUUAAUAAUAAUGAUUUUUGAACUUUAUAAAUAUAAAAUUAAGAAAAAACAAAAAACAAAAACAAAAAAAAUUAAAAUUAUGUGCUAAAAAUUGAUGCAAAUAAAUAAAUAAAAUAUAUAUAUAUAUAUAUAAGUGAAUUAUUUCAGCUAAAUAAUUAGUUCAUGACAACAAAGAUAAGGGCUUCUAAGAAUGUUGUCGUAAUGGGACGAAUAUAUGGUUCAUAGUUAUCAAGACCUUAAUUAUCAAAAUUGAACCCAACCAGUGGUUUAACCGGUUGGACAGUCGACUAUGUUUUUGUCAAUCCAUUCAAAAAUGAAAAUUAAAUUUAGUCUAAAACAAAUCAACACCAAUGUUUGACCGAUUUUACUCGGUUGGACCUAUUGGUUUUAAUUAGUUCGACCAUCUAAAUGAACUUUGGAAAAAAAUUUCAUACAGUUUUAUAUUUUUAACUAUUACAUAUAUUUUUAGUUAUGUUUUUUUAUAUUUUAAAAUUCAGCCCAACUAGUCUGACAACUGGUUGAACCAAUCCCUCAUAGGUUUGGUGAUCAGUUAGAUCAUGAUAACACUGAUGAAUAUUAGAUCGAACAGGCGGUCUGAUCGGUUGGACUUCCAAUCAAUAUCUUGGUUGGUCUGGUUUAAAAUAAAAUUCAGUUUUAAUGUUAAAAAAAAACCCAAAACUAGUAUUUGACCAGUUUUGGCCUAUCGGACUGGCCAGUUUCACGGGGUUCAACUGGCCAAAAAAGUUGGGCAUCAUUUUCAAUACGUUUUGUAUUUUUGAAAAUAUUACUCAUACUUCUCUUUAUGUUUUAAAAUCCAGUCAAACCGGAUCGAUUGGUCGUUGGUUUAGUUUUGAUUACAUCAGUCUCCAGUAACUAGCCUGAACCGGUUAAACCACUUACUAGUUUGAAUUGGUGGUCUGAUAGGUUAUUUAAUUGGCAAGGCGACUAGUCUAGUCAAAAUCAAUCCAACCACUGAUUGAACCAGAUUGACUAGAUUUUAAAACAUAAAAAAUAUUAUUUCAAAAUAUGUAAUAUACUUAAAAAGGUAUUGCCCAAUUUUAUUUGGCUGGUUGAAUUCGUCAAAACUUAUUGGUCGGAUUGGCAAUAACCGAUCAAAACAUUUGACCAGUUUCUUAUCAAAACCAAAUUUUAUUUUAGACUAGAAUGACUAAGGCAUCAGUUGACAUCGAUCGUGGGUAUGAGACUAUGAUGGCGUGUCAGAUACUCGACACACAUUGGUAAAGAGGGGCAUCUUUGAAAGACAGCUCUAAGAGCUCAAACCAAUGUUUUCAUAUUUGUUACAGAGUCUUUUUCGAUUUGGCGGAAAAAAUGAAGCAAUUUGGUACUUCGGUUGAUUCGUGGGAAAACUUCAGUUUUCUUUAAAAAAAUGAAUAUAAAUAAAGUAUAUAUUUAUAUAUAUUUUUAUAUAUAAAUAUUAGAAAUAAAUUAGAAACAAAUUUUUUAAAAAAAUACGUUUAUAUAAUAUUUUCUUUGCUUGCCGAAUCAGCCCGAAACAGAUCCAAAUCUUACCAAAGCAGUUUGAAGCAGCCCAAAUCUGACCAAAAUGACAGCAUCAGAUUUCGUUUCGCUUUGAUCUAAACCUAAAAGUCACAUGCUUUAAAGCGUAACAGAUUUGACAACACUAGCUCAAACGUCAACCUUACCAACCCAAACAUGUACUUCACGGAAACACUCUCAUUCUCUCUCUCGUUCGAUGCCAAGGAAGUUACAAUAAUAAUUCUCUCGCGUCCGAUGCUAAGGAAGUUACAGUAGUAAUAGCAAUCAUAGGACUUUUCUUUGAAUGUUAAAUCAUGAUUUUCAUUUUUUUUUUUUUAAGGUACGUUAGUGGGGAAGAAGGCCUUCUAUCCAUUUUUCUUUAUUAAUAAACAAUAAAGAAGAGAUAACUCAUUAUUUUACAACUCUAUAAUAGAGUAAUUACGUCAAAUCAUAAAAUUAAAAAAACGAAAUAAAGUCCAGCGGUCGAGAGUGCCAAAUAGUAGCUUCAGAAUAAAGUAAGAUGUCUUAUUAAAAGUUGGUCCAUUUAUAUUGCCAUAAUUUUCUAACUUUUCAAUAAAGGGCUACUAACAGUAGUAAAAGAAAAAAGCUCCUAAUUUUUCAAAUUCUAUUUAUUUCUAUUUUCAUAUUGGGUUCAAAAAUCUAACAUAAGAAUCGCCCAAAAAAAUAAAAAACUAGGGUCCAAAAGCCCAACUUUUAACUGCUUGAAGCACCAAAACCCAUGUUUAAUUGAUUAAAAAGUUCAACUUUGGGAUCACCCAAAAUAAAAAAAUAAAUAAAUAGGGGUAAAAUUAGAAUAAACUAAGAGUUGUUUAAAAUACAGUAGUAAAAACUCAUGGUAAAAUUAGAAAUUGGGAUAAAAUUAGAAUAAACUAAGAGUUCAAACAGAAAAGUUGUAUUUUUGUAUUUUGGGUUGUCUCAAAGCUUAACUUUAAAAUUUUGGGGUAAAAUUAGAACAAAUUUUUUGAAAAGUUUAGGAUGUCACUGUAAAAUGACCCAAAAUAUGGACUAGCUUAUAAUACCACUUCCUAUUUUGGGUCCAUAUAUAAAUUUCCUUCAAUGUAAAAUUUAUUAACUACCAAAAUGAUUUUGAAGACUCCUUUGGCCAAAAUAGUUUUCUUCGGAGUUCUUUCUUGAUAAACAUGAUUCAUUAUAGGAAAAGGGCUCGGUCGUGGUGGAAGCAUUCCCAUAACUAGUAAUCACAUUGUGGUUUCCAAUCCUGAAUAAGAUUCAUUAUAGGAAAAGGGCUCGGUUGUGGUGGAAGCAUCCCCAUAACUAGUAAUCAUAUUGUGGUUUCCAAUCCUGACAGGGUUCACAUUGUGUGUCCUAAUACCAUAUGUUGACACAACCACAUGUUGACACCUUUCGUAAAAGGGUCACAUGGUGACACCUUCCGUAAAAGGGCCAUGACCCGGUGCUGGUCCCACUUAUGCAAGGUCUCGAGAGGGGUAGACUGUGGUUUCCAAUCUUGACAGGGGUCACAUUGUGGAUCCUAACACCACAUGUUGACACCUUCCGUAAAAGGGCCAUAACCCGGUGCUGGUCCCACUUAAGCAAGGUCUCGAGAGGGGUGGACUGGAAACGGUCUUAACCUUUGUUAUGGACAAAGUGGCCGCUCUCAAGACUCGAACCUGCACUCUUACACUGACAACCCGAGUCUUUUACUAUCACACCAAAUGAUGGCCCUUUCACUGGUUGAGACCUUUAAAAAAGCUAAAGUCUUAAUCUAUAUGAAAAAACGGUAGGGGACCUAUCUUCCCCACUGAAUUACCCAAAAAAAAAAAUUUCAUUUGCAAUUCUACGCCCCUAGCGAGUCUGAUCUCACAAAAAGCCUCAUAAAAAUGUCAUUGUGGUCAUUGUCAACAAACCAAAAAGCCUUAUAGGAACGUCAUUGUGGUCAUUGUCAAAAAACCAAAAAAGAUGUCAUAGUGGUCUUUGGUCACCUGUGGCUUUCAAAGACUCCCCUUCAAAAUGAACCCCAUGAGCAGUAGAUGAGAAAAGUUUGUCCCCCUUAUGGAACACCCUCACCUCAACAUCAAUAGCUGUAAUACUGCACCCGGACCUGAAAAAGUUAAAGCAACAAUCUGAUAUGGUCCUUCACAGUCCCACCAGAACCUCGUGGCCCCCGAUUUCCAAGAGAAAUCAUCAAAUUUUAGUUUAAUUGAGCCCUCGGGUGGUGGUAACCAGUUACCAACCCUGAUCUUUCUCCUUGUCUUCAAUUUGACUACUACCCUAUGUCAUUCUUCAGAUUCCUAUGCAGUCCUUAGAGCCAUUUAGCUAUGGGGCCCAUAAAUCUGGCUUCAGAAGUUCCAUUGCCUGGUAUAACCGCCUCAAAAGGCCAUUGAUUUUGCUCCCACCGGCGAUGCGACAAUGAAACAACUUGCAAAAGGUGAGAUAGUACCGGUUCGGAUAUUACCCAUUGGAAGGCUCAAUCCAUUGCUCAAGAACUUGAAUCACAGCUCUUGUUAUAGGCAUAUAAUACACUGCAAGCUAGAUAGCAUUCACUCCACAACGAUUAUUUUAUCUCCCAAAUACAAAUAUUUUGUCUUCUACAGGUCGAGUUUGAACUAAAAUUUAUCACUUACUGAUCCCAAGUGGCCGUUGGCGCGUGAACUUCCACAACCAGGAGGUCCAAAAUACUUCUACAGGAAGCCUAUGUACACCACAUCCCAUAAUAAGUGCCCCCAUGCCCUCCUGUUGUUCAUCACAAGCCACUCAUAUCAUUUUCUUUUUUUUUUGUUCAUGUUAAAUUUGAAGCUAC